AUAUGAAUUUCUAUUUUUAUUUCACUAAAGCAUUUCAUUAUUUUUAUAUGAAAAUCUGCAUGCUAAUUGUUUGAGGAAAUGCCUCAACCAAGAAUGUUCUUGUGUUAAUCAUGCUAGAGGUCCUGCGUUUCAACUCUCUGUAAAUGGGGCACAAAUCACUAUAUGGUUGGAUGAACCCAUUGUAUCAUCCAUCUAGUUGACCCUGCUUUAGUGGACCAACACAUAGAUUCACAAUGACUGGGGAAUUUUCCCCUGUUGACCAUUUUUGUUUUCAAUCAUCUGUUCGAUCAAUUGGCCAGGAUGAUUAUGUUAGUUUGACUUUUGAACUAUGGUCAAAAGUCAAACUGAGGGCUAUAUAAUUUGAUUGGUCUGUUUUCACAUGAAUGUGUGCUAUGUGUAUGGUGGAUGAGACAACAUAAAGUGAAGAGUGCUGGUGAAUGGCCUGGAUCUCCAACUGAGGUUCCCAGAGCAGAUUCAGCUGCAGUAAUCAGGAUGGAAGACGGAACGUCUUCUAUCAUCUUCGAUUGUUUGGAGGGAACAUUGGAUUCAUGGUCCUUUGAAUGAAAAGAUCAACUAGGUAAGCCUCUUCUCUGUUAUAUCCCCUUGUGCGUUCGAUCCUUGCUCAUGCCCCCAAUGCAGAAUAGAGGAAUUAUAUCCUGCACAGCAGUACACGACUGUUUCUUGCUGCAUGGCCCACGUUUCAGCAAUCCACAAUGAAAAGAACAAUAACUAUUUUCUUGAAUCAGAGUACCUAUGCUAUGCCUGGAUGUACACAAGAAUGGUUUUGUGCUUCUCUUUUUCAUCCUUCUUCAAGAUGGGUAUCCAAUCUAAGUGUAGUUUGAAAUCAUCCAAUCACCCUGCCAUGUUUACUUUGGUGAGUUGGCUCUGCCAUAUUCAGGUUUGACCAGCUCUACUAUGUAAAUCUCCCUUUUCUUUGAAUGAGAAUACUGUUGGGGUUCCUUGGGAUUUCUAUGGCUCCACUGUAUUUUUGGCACAUGAAAAGCGGUUGCAUUCAUAGUAUAAAUUCAGUGGGUUCUCUGAACUGUUGGCUGUCCUUGAAAGGGGAAUUUGGGGAUUUUGAGAAAUUAGGUGUUAGGGUAGGUGGAAAAUUCGGGAACUUUGCAAAUUUUGGUUUUUAGGGUUUUGGGAAAAUUGGAGAAAUCAAGAUUAUUAGGUGUCAAGGGUUCAGGAAAUUUUGAAAAUUUACCUAACUGGGGUUCUAGGUUUGCUGGUUUCAUUUUCAUACAGGUACUAUUGUAACUCUGUCAUUGUUAUGCAGAAGGCGGGAACAAUCAUGACGAUCACCUGGUGCAGAAAUCAUGAAAUGGUGUGGUCCAUUUGGCGAGUGGAUCACCAUGAUUUUUGCGCCAGGUGAUCACCAUGAUAAAAUCAAAUAACCAUUUGUAUUUAUGAUGGGCUUAUGCUGUUACUGCAGAUUCGACAGAUCAAAUAAGAAGGGUAUAUUAAAUGGUUACUUUCUUUGGUUGGUAUUUGGCUAUGGAUUUGGUGAGUCUCUUUGCAUCCUGUUUCCUUUCAUGUUUCCAUUUCUCCAUCUUGGAAUCAUUUACAACCAUUAUUCCUUUAUGUACUAUAAAAUAGUUGAUGGUUCUAAUGAUCACAGCUAUCAGCUUUUGUUGUGAUUCUGAUUGGGGAUCUGUAUAAUAUAAGGCAGGCCAAUUGAGUAUAUUGGUAAUGGAAGAAGUAUAGAUUUUUUUUUACCAUAAUAUAUAUUCCCCUUUCUCUGAACACCUUCAUGUUCUUAUAUAUAUAUAUAUGAAUGUAAUGUAUAAGUAUAUAAGGCAGGCCAAUUAGAAAAGAAUGUAUGGAUGUCGUGAAUCCGACUAAAAGCCAUCAUGUUUGGCACUGUGUAACUGUGUCUCCAGUAACUAUACACUUAUCAGCAUCCAAGACUCCAAGGUACGUGGAUUCUAAGACCUCUAUUCUCUUAGUAAGCUAUUUACAUGGGGUUGAGCCCUAGUGGUUUUUCUUGCCCAUAUUCUAACGACUUUCUUAUACUUUCAGAUAUGAAAAUUCAAGU
Molecule: long non-coding RNA, 2038 nt
Organism: Magnolia sinica
Lineage: Eukaryota; Viridiplantae; Streptophyta; Magnoliopsida; Magnoliales; Magnoliaceae
Exons: 3
Source: RefSeq, a predicted model, not a curated record